GACGAACGCUGGCGGCGUGCUUAACACAUGCAAGUCGAACGGAAAGGCCCUGCUUUUGUUGGGUGCUCGAGUGGCGAACGGGUGAGUAACACGUGAGUAACCUGCCCUUGACUUUGGGAUAACUUCAGGAAACUGGGGCUAAUACCGGAUAGGAGCUCCUGCUGCAUGGUGGGGGUUGGAAAGUUUCGGCGGUUGGGGAUGGACUCGCGGCUUAUCAGCUUGUUGGUGGGGUAGUGGCUUACCAAGGCUUUGACGGGUAGCCGGCCUGAGCGGGUGACCGGACACAUUGGAACUGGGAUACGACACAGACUCCUACGGGAGGCAGCAGUGGAGAAUAUUGCAUCAUAGGCGGAAGCCUGAUGCAGCAAAGCCGCGUGCGGGAUGACGGCCUUCGGGUUGUAAACAGCUUUGGCCUGUGACGAAGCGUGAGUGACGGUAAUGGGUAAAGAAGCACCGGCUAACUACGUG
RNAcentral lists this ribosomal RNA (468 nucleotides) under uncultured bacterium. Its description in RNAcentral is "partial 16S ribosomal RNA". It matches the Rfam family "Bacterial small subunit ribosomal RNA", at positions 28 to 507 of the family's 1533-position model. The record is from RNAcentral.